RNAcentral lists this ribosomal RNA (1554 nucleotides) under human gut metagenome. RNAcentral's name for it is "bacterial LSU rRNA". It matches the Rfam family "Bacterial large subunit ribosomal RNA", at positions 1387 to 2925 of the family's 2925-position model. The record is from RNAcentral.
GGACCUAAUCCGAGGCAAAGAGCGUAGGAGAUGGACAACAGGUUGAUAUUCCUGUACCGGCAGCAAUUGUUUGAGCGAAGGAGUGACACAGAAGGGCAGGCAGGCGCGAGACUGGAUUGUCGCGUGCAAGCGUGUAGGGUAGUGUACAGGCAAAUCCGUACACUGAGAGCCUGAGGCGUUACGCGGAGCGAGCAGAGAUGCGAGCGAAGCUGCUGAUCCCACACUGUCGAGAAAAGCUUCUAGUGAGAGAGCUGCCGCCCGUACCGUAAACCGACACAGGUAUGCGGGGAGAGAAUCCUAAGGUGCGCGGGAGAACCCUCGUUAAGGAACUCGGCAAAAUGUACCCGUAACUUCGGGAUAAGGGUAGCCGUCUUGGUGAAGGAGCAUGCCUCUGGAGCUGAAGGCGGUCGCAGAGAAGAGGCCCAAGCGACUGUUUACCACAAACACAGGUGCCUGCUAAAGCGAAAGCUGACGUAUAGGUGCUGACACCUGCCCAGUGCUGGAAGGUUAAGGAAGGAUGUCCGGGUAACCAAAGCAUUCGACCGAAGCCCCAGUGAACGGCGGCCGUAACUAUAACGGUCCUAAGGUAGCGAAAUUCCUUGUCGGGUAAGUUCCGACCCGCACGAAAGGUGUAACGAUUUGGGCACUGUCUCAACGAGGGACCCGGUGAAAUUGAAAUACCUGUGAAGAUGCAGGUUACCCGCGACUGGACAGAAAGACCCCAUGGAGCUUUACUGUAACCUGACAUUGGGUUUUGUUGUAUUACGUACAGGAUAGGUGGGAGGCUUGGAAGGCUGGACGCUAGUCUGGCUGGAGCCGGCGUUGGGAUACCACCCUUGAUACAACGGAAUUCUAACCGAGAGAGUAACGAAAUCCGGGACAGUGUCAGGCGGGCAGUUUGACUGGGGCGGUCGCCUCCGAAAGAGUAACGGAGGCGCCCAAAGGUUCCCUCAGCGCGGCCGGAAAUCGCGCGAAGAGUGUAAAGGCAGAAGGGAGCUUGACUGCGAGCCAAACACGGCGAGCAGGUACGAAAGUAGGGCUUAGUGAUCCGGUGGUACCGAGUGGAAGGGCCAUCGCUCAACGGAUAAAAGCUACCCUGGGGAUAACAGGCUAAUCUCUCCCAAGAGUCCAUAUCGACGGGGAGGUUUGGCACCUCGAUGUCGGCUCAUCACAUCCUGGGGCUGAAGUCGGUCCCAAGGGUUGGGCUGUUCGCCCAUUAAAGUGGUACGUGAGCUGGGUUCAGAACGUCGUGAGACAGUUCGGUCCCUAUCCAUCGCGGGCGCAAGAGAUUUGAAGGGGUCUGCUCCUAGUACGAGAGGACCGGAGUGGACGGACCGCUGGUGUACCAGUUAUUCCGCCAGGAGUACAGCUGGGUAGCUACGUCCGGACUGGAUAAACGCUGAAAGCAUCUAAGCGUGAAGCCAUCCUUAAGAUGAGAUCUCUCACAGAGUAAUCUGGUAAGACACCUUAAAGAAGAUGAGGUAGAUAGGCCGGGAGUGUAAGUGCAGCAAUGUAUUGAGCUGACCGGUACUAAUAUGUCGAGGGCUUGACUUC